RNAcentral lists this ribosomal RNA (252 nucleotides) under uncultured beta proteobacterium. RNAcentral describes it as "partial 16S ribosomal RNA". It matches the Rfam family "Bacterial small subunit ribosomal RNA", at positions 440 to 684 of the family's 1533-position model. Lineage: Bacteria; Pseudomonadati; Pseudomonadota; Betaproteobacteria. The record is from RNAcentral.
AAGGGAAGAAACGUUACAGUCUAAUAAACUGUGAUAAUGACGGUACCUUGAUAAGAAGCACCGGCUAACUACGUGCCAGCAGCCGCGGUAAUACGUAGGGUGCGAGCGUUAAUCGGAAUUACUGGGCGUAAAGCGUGCGCAGGCGGUUUUGUAAGUCAGAUGUGAAAUCCCCGAGCUCAACUUGGGAACUGCGUUUGAAACUACAAGGCUAGAGUAUGGUAGAGGGGGGUAGAAUUCCACGUGUAGCAGUGU